AAACAGUUUGAUGUGUUUGUUCUUGUGCUUAAGAUAUGGAACCUUCCAGUGACAAUGAAUGUGUGACUGACAGUAAAAAGCGCAAGAAAGGGUGUCGAAAUACAUUUAGAUAUAAGUCUGAACAGAUAAAAAGAGCACGUGUAAAGUGUGAAGCAUAUACUAGUUGGAGUGGAAAAGAAAUCCCUGCAAAAAACAGGGUGAAAAUUGCAAAUGCAGACGAAAAUGUUUCUCGGUUGUAUCUCCACCACAACAAGAAGAAGUCUUUAACAAAUUUACAAGUUUAGAUACCAAAAAUGAACAGGAUUGUUACCUCCAGAGUCUUAUUUCCACGAAAAAGGUGAUGCGACGUAGACAUCGCAUUUCAAAGGAAGCUUCUUCAAAACCAUUAAGAGGAUGUACAUAUGUAUAUGAGAUAUCAACGAGUUCAGGAAAACAUCAAGUAUGUAAAACAGCUUUUUGUAACAUACAUGCUAUCUCGGAGGAACGUGUUCGUAGAUUCUGUAAGUUGCUCUCUGAAGGUAAAAGUCCACAUGAUAUGCGUGGGAAAUCAAUCCCAGGUAAUACCAAAUCAGGGUUGGUAAUAUAUGCUAUUAAGCAGCAUAUAUCCUCUUUUCCAGUUAAAAUAUCACACUACAGUAGCAAAGAAUACCACUACUUAAGCGAGAAGCUAGACGUCAAGAUCAUGUACUCGCUCUUCCAAGAGAAGUACCCUGAAAUGUCAGCUGCAAACUAUCGCUUCUAUCUGAAAGUUUUCAGAGAGCAUUUUUCUCUGUCGUUUGGACUACCCCAGGUAGAUACAUGUGCGACUUGUGAGGAGUUGGAUAUAAAACUUAAAAGCCCCUUUUUAAACCAAAAAGCAAAGAAAGUAGCUGAAGCAGAAAAAUGUGUGCAUUUGCGUCGGGCUAAGAAAUUUUCAGCUAAAAUAAAGGAAAUCAGCGAGAUAAUCAAAGCUGAUAAAGCGGGUGAUUUGGGAGCCAUUUGCAUAGAUUUCAUGCAGAAUUUACAGUUGCCUUGCAUUCCAGUCCAGGAGGUGUUUUACCUUAGACAGUUAACCAUCAGUGUUUUCUGCAUACAUAAUCUCAAAGAUGGCAAUGCAACUUUCUUUGUGUACCAUGAGGGAAUUGCAACAAAGGGGCCUAAUGAGGUAUGUUCAUUUGUUUUGGAGUUCUUGAAUACGUCAUUGAAGGGAGUCAAAGAGUUGUACAUAUUUUCUGAUAGGUGCAGCGCACAAAAUAAGAACCAUACAUUCAUCAGAAUGUUGUCUGCUUUGACUUCUCUUAAACGUUUUAGACAUAUCGAACAUUACUUCCCAAUAAGAGGACACUCUUUCCUGCCCUGCGAUAGGGAUUUCUCAGUACUCAAGAGAAAAAUCAAGAAGUACGACAGAGUGUACACCAUCAAGGAGUAUAUUGAGAUAAUUGUAACUUCAUCCUGCAAGAGAUCCUUCACGGUUGUAAUAGCAGAUUCCAUCAGCAUUCUCGACUUCAAGCAAUGGUGGCCCAAGUAUUUUAAGAGGAAUGUGCUGUCACAAGAGUCCUAUGAAAAAUCUGUGCCUAGAGACCAGAAAACAAGCUUCAAACCAAGUCAGUUCAUGCACUUCGGUUAUGCAAGUGACAAUGCUGGACUUGUUGUGGCACGACCAUUUAUUGAUUCCCUUGUCAAGCACCAUUUUAGGGUUCUCAAUUGCACACUUGCGGACCUUGUUCUUCCAAAAAACAUGGUGUAUCCUGCAGGUUGCAUCCCUAUCAACCAGAACAAAAUAGAUGACCUCCGCAAGUUGCAAAACUACUUGCCACACACAGAAGAUUGCCAGUCAUUCUAUAAUGAAUUAUUCUUGUGGCCAACAUGUGUAACUGAAGUAACGCAAAACCAGCCUGAUGAUUAAUCACAUCAAUGUAGACUUUACCGCACAUCAUCAGCAAAUAGUUCAUUUUGAAGAGGGACGUGUGCAUACUUAUUUGUAUUAAAAAGUGAUCUCUCAAUGUUAAAGUUGGUGUAGGCCGCAUAUACAAAGGUAGAUCUAAAAACCUACAUCGUAUAGACUUUCUCAUAUCAGCAAGAUUAGUUCAUUAGGGACUGAAUGCAUUUAUAUUCAUAUAAUUAUAGGUAUUUUUUAUGUUCUAAGCAAAUUUAUAGUAUUACUUUGUGUACGCAAAUAAAUAUUAUGUUUUGUGGAA
Molecule: long non-coding RNA, 2177 nt
Organism: Bacillus rossius redtenbacheri
Lineage: Eukaryota; Metazoa; Arthropoda; Insecta; Phasmatodea; Bacillidae
Exons: 2
Source: RefSeq, a predicted model, not a curated record